UUUGGUCGAUUAUAUUUCUUUGAUCCCUUUAUUUAUUGGACUAGCGACAUCAAGAUAUAGAUAAAUUUUGUCAUCAACCACUAUACUCACAAUAAAGUUCAGUUAAAGCCAUUUAAUUUCAUAUAUAUUUGUUAUGGUCUAUCUCUUUUAGUUUAAAAGAUAAAAGGGGCCACUUCUAGGUGGGACACCCUGUUUGAAUGACCCUGUUUGAAUGGAUGUUGCUCGCAAAUGUUAAAUAAUAACUCCAUGGAAACUCCAUGGUGUACGAUUUAGGAAAUCACGUAUUGGCAACUUUCCCUAUUUAUCAUUUAUUAAUAAAAAUGUUUCAGCAAGUAAAAGUCAUAUGAGCAGCAAGUAAAAGUCACGGCCAAAGUUGGCUUUCUGAAAACGCUCGGCUAUUUGUCAUAAGUUUUAAAAAGUUGAAAAUGAAUCAAUAGCGAAUUCGGGAGAUGCCAAAGGUGACAUAUGAUCACAGACUAAAAUUAAUUUAAUAUAAUGUCAACCGAUCAGUCGAGAUCGAUAUGCGUGGCUGGAACGAGAGUGUGAUGUGAAAACGUGGUACAUGAUUUUUUAGACACAUAGGUGCCAAUCCAUGAUACCAAUCUCGACUCGAUACGUGCGGGAGCAACUUUUACAUGCUUAUUCCCCUUUUGUAUUGUUGGUCACCGAUGAUCGACAGGGCGUUUAACGUGUUAAAUGAAUCAUUGUUAAAAUUGGAAGGACACAAGGAUUAUUAUCAACUUGUUUUUCAUUCACAUAAAUCAUUCGAAAAAAUAAAUAAU
Long non-coding RNA from Camponotus floridanus (Florida carpenter ant), 782 nucleotides. RefSeq lists it as uncharacterized. The transcript is spliced from 4 exons. The record is from RefSeq and is a predicted model, not a curated record. NCBI's taxonomy places the organism in Eukaryota, Metazoa, Arthropoda, Insecta, Hymenoptera, Formicidae.